Eucalyptus grandis is the source of this 1548-nucleotide RNA transcript. RefSeq lists it as uncharacterized. Lineage: Eukaryota; Viridiplantae; Streptophyta; Magnoliopsida; Myrtales; Myrtaceae. The transcript has a single exon. The record is from RefSeq and is a predicted model, not a curated record.
AUGUCACUCACGUUCUUCUUAUUCCCCUCCUUUAAAACGCCCUCUCCCAUCCGCGAAACCAUCUUCAUCCUUGGAGGCAAAAUGAUUCCUUCAUCCUCCUCCCCCAGUGGAAACAAUGCUCAGCCAUCACAAGAGAACUGCUACAUUGUUCAGAUGGAUCUCUUUGACUUCGGCAAUCAUCGCAACCUCGAGCCUACCACCGUCUCUGCUGUCAAAGAGAGAGACAGCGAGCGCCACGAAAAGCAAAUUGGCGUCGACCCGAUUUCCCUACAGCAAGAGCCGGCCUUCUUCGUGGCAAAACCCUUGGCGCCCAUCAAGACGAGCGGUUUGCACAGCCUCCUUCCCCAGCUCUCGCCUGCCAAGAGCACGUUCCUCAGCCACAGCCUCCCAAACUCGGCCACGACAUCGCCACGCUUCCCUUCCGUUAGUAAUCUACUGAAGAGGAACAAGAAGUGGGUGCAGCAUGAAAGUCAGGCUCAGGCUCCUCCUCGGCUGGAUUUCGACCAUCUCAUGAUGCUCAGCCCCUACCUCGCGAUGCAGCAAGAGAUGAGGAGCUUCAGGAGGAGCAAGUCAUGCGGCGAAGGAAGAGCGGUCCCGCCCUCUGUAGACUUUGAUCUUCUGGCAACCAAAGCUAAGGCUGAAGCUACUGGAACUACUUCUAGCACUAGUGACAGUAGUUGUACCAGUGAUGGUAGCGAGAGCGAAUAUCACCAAGAUGCAAACCUGAAGAACAACUUCCCAAGAUCUGCGAGCAAUGAAGACAGCGAUGGUGAGAGGGAGAAGGAAAGUCGGCAGGAGGAGUUCAAAUGCGGGGCGCUGUGCUUGUUCCUUCCAGGGUUUGGCAAGGCCAAGCCUGUCAAAUCCAAGAAGUACUCAUCACAAGCGCCGGAGAACAACUUUGUGAUCUCCAGGACUGUUUCAUUGAGAAAUUUGAAUGCGGAUCGUGGGCUUCCCCCGUCAUCAACAUGAACGGAAUCAGCCACGAAGAUGGAGCUGGAUCUGGUAUCGGAGACUCCGCCAACCUCUUCUUCGAUCUGCCGCUAGAGAUGAUCCGGAGCAGUGCCAACGACACGCAUUCUCCCGUGACUGCGGCUUUCAUCUUCGACAAUGAGAGGAAGGGCGUCUUGAAGAAGAACGGCUCGCUGAGGACGCCCAACAGGAAGUCCCACGAGUCCUCCCGGCACGUUCGUUUCUCCACGUCUUCGCCGACUUCCUACCCUGCCUCCCCGACUUCUUGCAUCACACCCCGCUUGCGCAAGGCGAGGGAGGACUUCCAUGCCUUCCUAGAAGCACAGAGUGCUUGAAAGUCGUCAUCAAUUCCUAGCAUUUCCAAACCUAAACGCACAAGUCUCCUUUCCACUGAUCCAACUGCACGGUAUGCAUUUGUGUCGUGACUUUUUGAACCGAGAAAUCGUGAUGUCGUCGUGUCUCGAUGCAGAGACGGAACGAUCCAUGGAAUGUAAACCCGCCCAGCUUCUCUUGCAUUGAAAAGUUUUGGUGAUGAGACGUCUGUUCCGUUUUUGUUUCUUUAGGUUGUACAUGGUGGAA